CUACGGGGGGCACCAGUGGGGAAUAUUGCGUAAUGGGGGAAACCCUGACGCAGUGACGCCACGUGAGUGAUGAAGGUCUUCGGAUCGUAAAGCUCUGUCAGAUGGGAAGAAUAAAAGCAGUGAAAAUAUUGCUGUUUGAUGACGGUACCAUCAGAGGAAGCACCGGCUAACUCCGUGCCAGCAGCCGCGGUAGUACGGAGGGUGCAAGCGUUGUUCGGAAUUACUGGGCGUAAAGCGCGUGUAGGCGGGUAAGUAGGUCAGAUGUGAAAUCCCUUGGCUCAACCAAGGACGUGCAUCUGAAACCGCUUGUCUUGAGUGCGACAGAGGAGAGUGGAAUUCCCAGUGUAGAGGUGAAAUUCAUAGAUAUUGGGAAGAACACCAGUGGCGAAGGCGACUCUCUGGGUCGCAACUGACGCUGAGACGCGAAAGCGUGGGGAGCAAACAGGAUUAGAUACCCGAGUAGUC
RNAcentral lists this ribosomal RNA (465 nucleotides) under uncultured bacterium. Its description in RNAcentral is "partial 16S ribosomal RNA". It matches the Rfam family "Bacterial small subunit ribosomal RNA", at positions 339 to 795 of the family's 1533-position model. The record is from RNAcentral.